AGAUAAUAGAUACCCUGGUAGUCCAUGCCGUAAACGUUGGGAACUAGGUGUGGGUCUCAUUCCACGAGAUCCGUGCCGCAGCUAACGCAUUAAGUUCCCCGCCUGGGGAGUACGGCCGCAAGGCUAAAACUCAAAGGAAUUGACGGGGGCCCGCACAAGCGGCGGAGCAUGCGGAUUAAUUCGAUGCAACGCGAAGAACCUUACCAAGGCUUGACAUACACCGGAAUCACUCAGAGAUGGGUGCGUCUUCGGACUGGUGUACAGGUGGUGCAUGGUUGUCGUCAGCUCGUGUCGUGGGAUGUUGGGUUAAGUCCCGCAACGAGCGCAACCCUCGUUCUAUGUUGCCAGCACGUCAUGGUGGGGACUCAUAGGAGACUGCCGGGGUCAACUCGGAGGAAGUGGGAUGACGUCAAAUCAUCAUGCCCCUUAUGUCUUGGGCUUCACGCAUGCUACAAUGGCCGGUACAAAGGGCUGCGAAACCGCGA
Molecule: ribosomal RNA, 485 nt
Filed under: uncultured bacterium
Lineage: Bacteria
Description: bacterial SSU rRNA
Rfam family: Bacterial small subunit ribosomal RNA
Source: RNAcentral